Long non-coding RNA from Leopardus geoffroyi (Geoffroy's cat), 2063 nucleotides. RefSeq lists it as uncharacterized. The record is from RefSeq and is a predicted model, not a curated record. NCBI's taxonomy places the organism in Eukaryota, Metazoa, Chordata, Mammalia, Carnivora, Felidae. The transcript is spliced from 2 exons.
GUCCCGCAUCAGGCUCUUCGUUGUCAGCACAGAGCCUGCUUCGGAUCCUCUUGUCUCCCUCUCUCUCUGCCCCUCCCCUCCCCAAAAGUAAAUGAACGUGAACAAAAAUAUAUCCGCAGAACGAAUCCAGGACUUCAAAGGGACAGAGGUUGACCAGAAAGCCCUUGCCCCUAGCUCUGCUCCUUUAUAACUUACUGAUAUUUCCCUCUCUUUGGGGAAGAGGGAAAUCUGAUUAGAUCAUGAACAUGUUAGUCUGGCUAUGGGUACAAACAGCUGUACAAGACCCAGCAUUGGCCUGGCUGGGCCGUGAGCAGAGACCCUGCUAUGACGUGAUCUCUGUGGACCCCAAGCUCAGUGUUGAAUGGAACGAGAACUGGCUAGUUUGCCGUCAGAGACGAGGUCCGCUCACCAGGGCCCCUUUGUAAUCAGCGCUGAAAUCUGACCUGCACGGGAGACCCUGUCCUGAGCACGCUUCUCUUCCACGCCCGUGUGUCAAGGUCCAUGGCCUCCACUGAGCUUAAACACACACGUGUGUCUCAGCUCCCCGCCCCGUCAGCUGGAGGCCAAGGGAGCCCCUCUAGAGACUGGACACUGCUGAGAGCCACAGGCACAGUGGGACCGUCUCCUGGUGGGGGGCCUCGGUCCGUUCGCCGGGGUCAGUACCACCCUCUUCAAACCUAAUUGCUUACUGACCUGCCUUCCAGCUCCUUUGGGCCACCUCGAAGCCACUGAGGCCAAAAUGACAAGCAUAAAGAUCGUGGUUACAAAGGGCUAGGUUAAUAACAACUCUACUGACUUAAUGGUACUUGAAUAGCCCUUUGCUAUCUACAGGCCAUGUUUAUCGCCGGUAUAUCCCCUACACCUCACCACAAAAACCCACGAAGUGCAUAUUUAUUGUUAUUUCCCCCUCUGCGAAGUGGACUUUAUCAGGAUGUUUUGUGGCUUGUCCGUGAUCACAGAGCCAGCGACGGAAGGUGACGUUUUCCGGCCGUCAAGCUCAGUGGUCUGGACACUGCUCCGCGAAGUUCCUGUAAAUGAAUGGCCUACAGGACUUUCCAGAGCAGCUCUGUUUGAGGGUUGUUGAUUGGUGGAAAAACAAAACAGCGUUUCAGGACCAGAUCUUUUGGGGAAACACUCUUCGCACAUAAUGAAAUGAUUUUCUUUACAGGGGGAUCUUUAGAGCCUUUCCCUUGUCCGUCCUCAAGCCGUCCAUGCGACCCUGUGGGAUCUAAGCUGGCAGGAGGGCCUCCGAGGUGGCGUGGAAGCCGAGAAGAAUUGAACAGAAGAGGCCACGGCACAGAAUUGAGCCCCGAAGGGAAAAAUACCAGCGUUGUUAACACAUGAAGGUCAAAUCCAGGCUGCUCAGUGUGCAUCCAGAGCUCCUGAGUCGCCGGGCCAAGGCGGACCUCCCCCCCUGCUUGGCUCCGGCUGUCGACGGUGCCCAAGAUGCCGGGAGCCGGCUGUUCUCUCUUGCUAAAUUAGGCAUCUAUUUCGUUUGGCCGUCCGCGUUUUGAGAAGCUGUGGGGACAAUCCCUGUGGUCCUCUGCUAGACGAGGGAGGCCCGGGGAAGUUGGUGGUGGCCAAGGGUAACAAAAAGAAAAAGGGAGUGACUUUGUGGAAGAAUGGCUCUCAAAGCGCUUCUGUUUUUGUUAGGGUCUCGGGGAAGGUCGCGAGGGAAAUGAGACAAGAUUAAAAGGGAAAGACGGCCUAUCUUCUCUGACGGAUUCUUGAAUAAUUUCCAGCAAACUUCGUUCUCCUCACCGUUGGUGUUUGGGGGGAGGUGGUGCGGGGCCCAUGACGGAGACCCGACCUCUUGGUGAAUGUCCGAAAUGAGAGUGGGUCCAGUUCGCUGGUCACCACAGUGGAGGCAGGUUGUCCCGUGGCAGCUACAAGGGACGCCUCCUCAGCUGGGCCGGGCCUUCCUCUGAGUGGCCAAGUUCUACCUCGUCCGCUCAUCCGUCAGCCUCCUGGGGUUCAACCUGCCCAUCCCUUUUAGUAGCUAAUCACCUUUCGCUCUAUCAGCAAUUUUUUUUUUAAUUAAAAAAAUGCUUUUAUUUAUUUUU